AUUCAAGAGGCGCAUCCACUAAACAAGGAUUGAAAC
Molecule: non-coding RNA, 36 nt
Filed under: uncultured archaeon
Lineage: Archaea
Source: RNAcentral